GCGAUGCCGCGUGAGUGAAGAAGCCCUUGGGUUGUAAAGCUCUUUCGUCGGGGAAGAAAAUGACUGUACCCGAAUAAGAAGGUCCGGCUAACUUCGUGCCAGCAGCCGCGGUAAUA
RNAcentral lists this ribosomal RNA (116 nucleotides) under uncultured bacterium. RNAcentral's name for it is "partial 16S ribosomal RNA". It matches the Rfam family "Bacterial small subunit ribosomal RNA", at positions 391 to 525 of the family's 1533-position model. The record is from RNAcentral.